UCCUACGGGAGGCAGCAGUGGGGAAUAUUGCACAAUGGGCGAAAGCCUGAUGCAGCGACGCCGCGUGAGGGAUGAAGGCCUUCGGGUUGUAAACCUCUUUCAGCAGGGAAGAAGCAGCCGGGUUUUCUUGGUUGUGACGGUACCUGCAGAAGAAGCACCGGCUAACUACGUGCCAGCAGCCGCGGUAAUACGUAGGGUGCAAGCGUUGUCCGGAAUUAUUGGGCGUAAAGAGCUUGUAGGCGGUUUGUCGCGUCUGCUGUGAAAUUUCGGGGCUCAACCCCAAACUUGCAGUGGGUACGGGCAGACUAGAGUGUGGUAGGGGAGACUGGAAUUCCUGGUGUAGCGGUGAAAUGCGCAGAUAUCAGGAGGAACACCGAUGGCGAAGGCAGGUCUCUGGGCCACUACUGACGCUGAGAAGCGAAAGCAUGGGGAGCGAACAGGAUUAGAUACCCUGGUAGUCCAUGCCGUAAACGUUGGGAACUAGGUGUGGGCCUCAUUCCACGAGGUCCGUGCCGCAGCUAACGCAUUAAGUUCCCCGCCUGGGGAGUACGGCCGCAAGGCUAAAACUCAAAGGAAUUGACGGGGGCCCGCACAAGCGGCGGAGCAUGCGGAUUAAUUCGAUGCAACGCGAAGAACCUUACCAAGGCUUGACAUGUGCCGGAAAAGUGCAGAGAUGUGCUCCCCGCAAGGUCGGUACACAGGUGGUGCAUGGUUGUCGUCAGCUCGUGUCGUGAGAUGUUGGGUUAAGUCCCGCAACGAGCGCAACCCUCGUUCUAUGUUGCCAGCACGUGAUGGUGGGGACUCAUAGGAGACUGCCGGGGUCAACUCGGAGGAAGGUGGGGAUGACGUCAAAUUAUCAUGCCCCUUAUGUCUUGGGCUUCUCGCAUGCUACAAUGGCCAGUACAAAGGGCUGCGAUACCGCAAGGUGGAGCGAAUCCCAAAAAACUGGUCUCAGUUCGGAUUGGGGUCUGCAACUCGACCCCAUGAAGUCGGAGUCGCUAGUAAUCGCAGAUCAGCAACGCCGCGGUGAAUACGUUCCCGGGCCUUGUACACACCGCCAU
RNAcentral lists this ribosomal RNA (1061 nucleotides) under uncultured Ornithinicoccus sp. Its description in RNAcentral is "bacterial SSU rRNA". It matches the Rfam family "Bacterial small subunit ribosomal RNA", at positions 337 to 1396 of the family's 1533-position model. Lineage: Bacteria; Bacillati; Actinomycetota; Actinomycetes; Micrococcales; Intrasporangiaceae. The record is from RNAcentral.